GUACUGGAUGGGAGUUAUGCCGCAGUGACCCAUUAUCGAAUGCCGAAGAAGAACGAAUUGGCAGGUGUUCGGACAGUGC
Molecule: small RNA, 79 nt
Organism: Rivularia sp. PCC 7116
Lineage: Bacteria; Bacillati; Cyanobacteriota; Cyanophyceae; Nostocales; Rivulariaceae
Rfam family: CyVA-1 RNA
About the family: Cyanobacteria, Acidobacteria (1 example), Verrucomicrobia (1 example). Big IGRs
Source: Rfam